This 441-nucleotide ribosomal RNA is filed under the name Triticum aestivum (bread wheat). Its description in RNAcentral is "partial small subunit ribosomal RNA". Lineage: Eukaryota; Viridiplantae; Streptophyta; Magnoliopsida; Poales; Poaceae. The record is from RNAcentral.
AUGACAGAGGAGGUGGAGGCCUGGCUCCUUCAACGUGUCAUGGAAGACUCCAUGAACACGCACGAUGAGCGCCAAUGGGAGGGCCUGGAGACCAUGAUUGCCCUCUCUGCGGUCGGCGACGCGGCCGCGUCGGAGCUGGAGAUGAGGGAGGGGGUGAAGGAGGAGGUGCUGGAGGAGGAGCCCGUCGCUGCGUUCCACUCGGGCCUGGUGGGCCAGGGGUGGAGCUGGUCGUGCAUGGCCGCCGACAUGGACGACGCCGUGGGGGCCGUGAACUGGUGCCCUACGCCGCCGCGCUUACCGGAGCGCGAGACGUCGCCACGGGGUGAGGUGGUGCAGGCGCCUCCCACCUUCCAGGAGCCUCCCGCCUUCCAGGGACGUGCCCACCUCUGGACGCCGCCGCCCUACAUCGACCUCACUGGCGACGACGACGACAACGCGUGA